AUACGGAGGGGGCUAGCGUUGUUCGGAAUUACUGGGCGUAAAGCGCGCGUAGGCGGUCCGUUUAGUUAGGCGUGAAAGGCCUGGGCUCAACCCGGGAACUGCGUUUGAUACUGCGGAACUAGAGAUCGGGAGAGGGUAGUGGAAUUCCCAGUGUAGAGGUGAAAUUCGUAGAUAUUAGGAAGAACACCAGUGGCGAAGGCGGCUUACUGGCUCGAUACUGACGCUGAGGUGCGAAAGCGUAGGGAGCAAACAGGAUUAGAAACCCCGGUAGUCC
This 274-nucleotide ribosomal RNA is filed under the name uncultured bacterium. RNAcentral describes it as "partial 16S ribosomal RNA". It matches the Rfam family "Bacterial small subunit ribosomal RNA", at positions 523 to 796 of the family's 1533-position model. The record is from RNAcentral.